Rhincodon typus (whale shark) is the source of this 2008-nucleotide long non-coding RNA. RefSeq lists it as uncharacterized. The transcript has 5 exons. The record is from RefSeq and is a predicted model, not a curated record. Lineage: Eukaryota; Metazoa; Chordata; Chondrichthyes; Orectolobiformes; Rhincodontidae.
CUAUUCCCAUUGGCUGGUCCUACGGCCACGUGUCUUACCUGGUGUUUGUCUCCCUAUAAAAGCUGACGUCUUCUUUCCUCCUGUCCCAGUCCAUUUGGCGGAUUUGGGCCGCAGUGGCACACACACAACAAAGAAGUCAACCCUUCACUCCAUCAGCUCCUCCUCCACCACUAAAGAGACAAGACACAUUCCUCCGAGGACAGCUGUCUGCUGCUCCCUCCAGCAGCUCAGACCUUCCGCUCAAUGAUGUCAGACUUAGAGUCGUGGAGAUAUGCAGCACAGAAACAGACCCUUCAGUCCAACUCAGACAUCCUAUAUAAAACUAGUCCCAUUUGGCCCAUGUCCCUCUAAACCGUUCGUAUUCAUAUACCCAUCCAGAUGCCUUUUAAAUAUUGUAUUCGCACCAGCUUCCACUACUUCCUCUGGCAGCUCAUUCCAUACACGCACCACCUUCUGCGUGAAAAUGUUGUCCCUUAGGUCCCUUUUAUAUCUUUCCCCUCUCACCUUAAACCUAUGCCCUGUAAUUUUGGGACUCCCCCACCCCAGGGAAAAGACCUUGCCUAUUUACCCUAUUCAUGUCUCUCUUGAUUUUAUAAACCUCUAUAAAGGUCACCCCUCAGCCUACUACGCUCCAGGGAAAAUAGCCCCAGUUUGCUGAGUUUCUCCAGCCAUUUCUGUUUUUGUUACAAUGAAGUGCUCAGUGAUUGCUGGAAAUGCCUGCAGACUUGCACUCCAUCACUUUAGCACUUUAAUAGUCAGCAAAGCAGGGGGUAGGUAAGGGAUGUUGGCUUCACUUACAGUGCCCCUUCCUCUCACGUAGGCAGGAUGGUCGCACCAGGCAUCCAGGUGGCACUGUAGCCACAGAGAAGUCACCUUUCAGGAUAUCCCAGAUCCUUCCACCACAACCAUGCCUGAAAUCACUAACGUUGCAACUGAGGAGGGUAAACCUGAUUUUGGUCAGGGGACACUCAGCAUGUCUGAGCUCUCUAGCCACAAAUAACCCACAGUCAUCCAUCCAAAUCUUGAAGACCACCAGGGUCCACUUCAGCGCAGGCUCCUUCCAACCAAACCGCAGACCCUAAGGUUGCACCAAGACAUAGUGGAGGGCAAGGAGAAAAAAAUGAGAUGAGGGCACAUAGUUAGCAUAGAUGACACAUCAUUGAAAAUACAAUUUCACAUCUAAGUAUUUUUGCAUUUUCAAUUGUCACAUGCCUGAUCAACUGUAAUUUGAGCUGUAGGACUAGGUUAUAUGAUGACCAUGUCAAUACUAAGUAGCCCCUUCAUUCAUCUCAAGGAGAGGCAUUGCUUACCUCUGAGAAGCAAAAUGCAGAGCAACAUAACUUCUUUCAGUUCUUAUAUUCACGAGUGCAGCCACGACUUAACACAUUAAUGAGAAGAUCAUUAAGGCCAAAGCCAAGCACCUUGUAAUAGGUCCUUUCCUCCAUCAUGCUCCACACUUAUGGCCACUUUUUACAUGUGACUAUGUAAUUAUUCAUGAGCGCACACACUUCUGGAGGCAAAGAUUCAUUCUAACUACGAGUUUUACAAGGGAGUACACAGUCAUUCAAGGAUCGGCAGUGUCCAAUAAUCCUUUAAAAUCAAGACCCUGCCUCAUAAGAAUCAAGUCAACUCAGAUGUUGUGACCCUCUGAGAUCUGAAUGAAGUGGCAGUGUGGUUUAAAAAGAGCAAGGUAGAGAUGCUGUGAGCAUCCAAAAGAACCUGGUGCAUAGUGCCUGGGAGAGAGCCCAAAUAGGAAGAGGUCGCUGCUACAUUCAGAUAUCACCCACUGGAGGAGGUAAAAAUGCAUCUUGCCAACACAGAUUAUAAGGAAGUCUGCCCUGGCAAAAAAGGCUCUCAUGCUGGAUCUGGAGAUUAUAAAAUGUUGUGAUCCAUAGAAAACCACCAGUCUUUAAGAAGAUAUCUAGAUUUCCAGUGACUGACUUGCAAGGCAUAUUUUAAUGCUUUCAGUGUAUCAAACAAACUAAAAGUAACAUUGAGUAAAGAACAA